RNAcentral lists this transfer RNA (72 nucleotides) under Minisyncoccota bacterium. RNAcentral's name for it is "tRNA-Cys". It matches the Rfam family "tRNA". Rfam says of the family: Transfer RNA (tRNA) molecules are approximately 80 nucleotides in length. Their secondary structure includes four short double-helical elements and three loops (D, anti-codon, and T loops). Lineage: Bacteria; Bacillati; Minisyncoccota. The record is from RNAcentral.
GGCGCGGUAGCCAAGUGGUAAGGCAGUUCUCUGCAAAAGAACUACACGGCGGUUCAAUUCCGCCCCGCGCCU